GCAUUGGUGGUUCAGUGGUAAAAUUCUCACUUUCCAUGUGGGAGACCCAGGUUUGGUUCCCGGUCAAUGCA
Loxodonta africana (African savanna elephant) is the source of this 71-nucleotide transfer RNA. It matches the Rfam family "tRNA". From Rfam's summary of the family: Transfer RNA (tRNA) molecules are approximately 80 nucleotides in length. NCBI's taxonomy places the organism in Eukaryota, Metazoa, Chordata, Mammalia, Proboscidea, Elephantidae. The record is from Rfam.